This 73-nucleotide transfer RNA is filed under the name Candidatus Phytoplasma australasiaticum subsp. ipomoeae. RNAcentral's name for it is "Sweet potato little leaf phytoplasma transfer RNA-Ile". It matches the Rfam family "tRNA". Rfam says of the family: Transfer RNA (tRNA) molecules are approximately 80 nucleotides in length. The record is from RNAcentral. Lineage: Bacteria; Bacillati; Mycoplasmatota; Mollicutes; Acholeplasmatales; Acholeplasmataceae.
CGAAGGGCCUAUAGCUCAGUUGGUUAGAGCACACGCCUGAUAAGCGUGAGGUCGGUGGUUCAAGUCCAUUUAG